CGUAUGGAGUAUGACUUCAGCUCGGCUGGUGCCGAAGAGCGCGGCUAGGCGGCUUGGAUCAAGCGAGGGCGGGUUAGAGUAUUUUGUGUGUUUAAAUGGGCACUUGUACGGUACAUGUUGGCUUGUGCCGCUGUCUUCCGACGAAGAUAAUGGUGCAGCUGCAGAUGACGACAAGGACGACGACGAAGAUUCUAGUGAUGAUGAUCUGGACGACGACGGUGAAGAUUACGAUAAUCGGACGGUAGCGGAAGGCAGUUGGAGCUCGAUGGGUGAAG
Molecule: unclassified non-coding RNA, 275 nt
Filed under: Hevea brasiliensis (rubber tree)
Lineage: Eukaryota; Viridiplantae; Streptophyta; Magnoliopsida; Malpighiales; Euphorbiaceae
Source: RNAcentral